AGCCUUAGACAUACUGUACCAAUUCCUAAUUUUGUCAGGUUUUAAAAAGUAAGCAGCAUCAGGCCUGGUUAGUACUUGGAUGGGAGACCAUAUAAGAUGGCUACACCCGGUCACUGCGCUUU
This 122-nucleotide ribosomal RNA is filed under the name Monopterus albus (swamp eel). Lineage: Eukaryota; Metazoa; Chordata; Actinopteri; Synbranchiformes; Synbranchidae. The record is from RNAcentral.